RNAcentral lists this ribosomal RNA (420 nucleotides) under Staphylococcus devriesei. RNAcentral's name for it is "bacterial SSU rRNA". It matches the Rfam family "Bacterial small subunit ribosomal RNA", at positions 208 to 620 of the family's 1533-position model. The record is from RNAcentral. Lineage: Bacteria; Bacillati; Bacillota; Bacilli; Caryophanales; Staphylococcaceae.
UUUGCUAUCACUUAUAGAUGGAUCCGCGCCGUAUUAGCUAGUUGGUAAGGUAACGGCUUACCAAGGCAACGAUACGUAGCCGACCUGAGAGGGUGAUCGGCCACACUGGAACUGAGACACGGUCCAGACUCCUACGGGAGGCAGCAGUAGGGAAUCUUCCGCAAUGGGCGAAAGCCUGACGGAGCAACGCCGCGUGAGUGAUGAAGGUCUUCGGAUCGUAAAACUCUGUUAUUAGGGAAGAACAUACGUGUAAGUAACUAUGCACGUCUUGACGGUACCUAAUCAGAAAGCCACGGCUAACUACGUGCCAGCAGCCGCGGUAAUACGUAGGUGGCAAGCGUUAUCCGGAAUUAUUGGGCGUAAAGCGCGCGUAGGCGGUUUUUUAAGUCUGAUGUGAAAUCCCACGGCUCAACCGUGGAG